UAUGGCUCAAGUGUAUACAGGUGCAUUGGUCAUAGUGGAUGUGCUCCUGAUGCUCUUGAAAAUUCUUUAUUGCAUCGGUGAAGCUAUAUAUAAAUUGUUCGUACCUACGAAAGAGAAAGACGUCACAGGUGAAAUUGUUUUGAUUACUGGGACUGGUCAUGGAAUUGGAAAGGAACUUGCUCUUAAAUACGCCUCUUUGGGAGCUACAGUAGUGUGUUGGGAUCUGAAUCAAGAAAUGAAUCAAGAGACAGUAGCAGAAAUUAAAAAAAUGGGUGGAACAUCUGCUUAUGCUUACAAGUGCGACGUCACGGAUAGAGAAGAAGUAUUAAAAGUCGCCGAAAGGGUUAAACAAGAAGUAGGAAAUGUUACAAUACUAAUUAACAAUGCCGGUAUAAUGCCUUGCCAUUCAUUUUUGGAUUAUACACCGGAAGAAAUUAGAAAAAUAUUUGACGUCAAUGUCUUGGCUCAUUUUUGGGUAUUGCAAGCCUUUUUACCAAGCAUGAUUACAAAAAAUCAUGGUCAUAUAGUGGCACUUUCCUCGAUGGCAGGUAUAAUUGGACUGACUAACUUGGUACCAUAUUGUGCAUCAAAAUUUGCAGUUCGAGGUUUUAUGGAAGCUCUCAGCGAAGAGCUUCGAGAAUACUCUAAAGGAAAGAACUUGAACAUAAACUUUACAACUAUUUAUCCGUACAUGGUGGACACUGGUCUCUGUAAGAAACCUAAAAUAAAAUUGGAUUGUUGGACUCAGGGCGGUUCUCGAACAUCUUGGCGAUGCUUCCACCGAAAGAGGUUGCUAAUCUAAUAGUAAAAGCACAAAGAAAGAACUAUUCAAACAUAUCCAUUCCUAGAGUCUUGCUCUCAUUAAACACAACGUUUAGAAAUUUUCCUGAAAAAUCAUUACAUCAUCUAAUAGACUUCAUUGAUAGUGGUGUAGAAGUACCAAAUUAAUGGAAUGUUGAUAAUUAUAAUGAAUUUUUCCUAUGAGAAAAUUAUUCAUUAUGUUAUUAGAUUAUAUAUAUUGCGUGCAGUGUUUAUUGUACAUACAGCUUUUAUAUAAUAUAUAAAUGUAUCAAUCAAAUGAUUUUUAAGUCGGCACUAUUACGAGAAAAAAAUCUACAUAUUAUUAAGUACUAAUCUGAAAAUUUUAUAAAAGCGAGGUCCUAAUUAUUGUCAUAUAAGUUAGAAAUAAGUAUAUAAGCUUAUAAUGUGCCAGGACAAAAUAAUGUGUACAUUAUGAUUAUUUUAAUACAUGUAUUUUCGUGUAUAUGUACUGUUUGCUAUUGUAUAAGAAAAUAUACUGUGCUCUAUUCUA
Molecule: RNA transcript, 1312 nt
Organism: Vespula vulgaris
Lineage: Eukaryota; Metazoa; Arthropoda; Insecta; Hymenoptera; Vespidae
Gene name: short-chain dehydrogenase/reductase family 16C member 6-like
Exons: 8
Source: RefSeq, a predicted model, not a curated record